This 130-nucleotide ribosomal RNA is filed under the name Verrucomicrobiaceae bacterium. Its description in RNAcentral is "partial 16S ribosomal RNA". It matches the Rfam family "Bacterial small subunit ribosomal RNA", at positions 1 to 125 of the family's 1533-position model. Lineage: Bacteria; Pseudomonadati; Verrucomicrobiota; Verrucomicrobiia; Verrucomicrobiales; Verrucomicrobiaceae. The record is from RNAcentral.
UUCGAAGAGUUUGAUUCUGGCUCAGAACGAACGCUGGCGGCGUGGAUAAGACAUGCAAGUCGAACGGGGUGUCUUUAGAGCUUGCUUUGAAGGCACCUAGUGGCGAACGGGUGAGUAACACGUGAGUUAC